CAGUGGCAUUCUGGUCGAAGCAACUAAGGGAAGCAGAUAAAGGUAAGCUGACAGAAAAAGGGUGAAGAGAGGGAGAAGACAGGCAGCAAAGGUUGCCUGGAGGUCGCAUGCAGCAAAGGUCGAUCGGUUUUACCCCCGCGCCACCACCACCCCCCAGCUCAAGGGGGCAGAGUCGGUGGUAAAUGACAGUCAGCCAAGUAGAAGAGGAAGAAGGAUUUUUUGUUCAAUGGUUAGACGGAGACCUCAUGGCUGUGCAAUGUUUGGUCAGUCCUGCUGUUUGGUAAUAAAGACGAACUCAUU
Molecule: long non-coding RNA, 300 nt
Organism: Girardinichthys multiradiatus
Lineage: Eukaryota; Metazoa; Chordata; Actinopteri; Cyprinodontiformes; Goodeidae
Exons: 3
Source: RefSeq, a predicted model, not a curated record